GAGGGUAUAGCUCAAGAGGUAGAGCGCAUGCUUAGCGCGCACGAGGUCCUGAGUUCAAUCCCCAGUACCUCCU
This 73-nucleotide transfer RNA is filed under the name Camelus bactrianus (Bactrian camel). It matches the Rfam family "tRNA". Rfam says of the family: Transfer RNA (tRNA) molecules are approximately 80 nucleotides in length. Their secondary structure includes four short double-helical elements and three loops (D, anti-codon, and T loops). RNAcentral also lists the same sequence under 2 other names. The record is from Rfam by way of RNAcentral. Lineage: Eukaryota; Metazoa; Chordata; Mammalia; Artiodactyla; Camelidae.